This 105-nucleotide small nuclear RNA is filed under the name Phytophthora infestans T30-4. Lineage: Eukaryota; Oomycota; Peronosporomycetes; Peronosporales; Peronosporaceae. The record is from RNAcentral.
AACCACUUCGGUGGUCAUCCGUAAAAAUUGGAACGAUACAGAGAAGAUUAGCAUGGCCCCUGCGCAAGGAUGACACGCAUAAAUCGAGAAGUAUCGCACUUUGUG